Molecule: microRNA precursor, 204 nt
Filed under: Oryza sativa Indica Group (long-grained rice)
Lineage: Eukaryota; Viridiplantae; Streptophyta; Magnoliopsida; Poales; Poaceae
Description: MIR812 microRNA precursor family
Rfam family: MIR812 microRNA precursor family
Source: Rfam by way of RNAcentral
AAUAGAUGAUACCGUUGACUUUUUCUCACGUGUUUGACCAUUCGUCUUAUUUAAAAAAUUUACGUAAUUAUAUUUUAUUUUAUUAUGAGUUGUUUUAUCACUCAUAGUACUUUAAGUGUGAUUUAUAUCUUAUACAUUUGUAUAGAAUUUUUGAAUAAGACGAAUGGUUAAACAUGUGAGAAAAAGUCAACGGCGUCAUCUAUU